AGAGUUUGAUCCUGGCUCAGAACGAACGCUGGCGGCAUGCCUAACACAUGCAAGUCGAACGAACUCUUCGGAGUUAGUGGCGCACGGGUGCGUAACGCGUGGGAAUCUGCCCUUGGGUACGGAAUAACUCAGAGAAAUUUGUGCUAAUACCGUAUAAUGUCUUCGGACCAAAGAUUUAUCGCCCAAGGAUGAGCCCGCGUAAGAUUAGCUAGUUGGUGAGGUAAAAGCUCACCAAGGCGACGAUCUUUAGCUGGUCUGAGAGGAUGAUCAGCCACACUGGGACUGAGACACGGCCCAGACUCCUACGGGAGGCAGCAGUGGGGAAUAUUGGACAAUGGGCGAAAGCCUGAUCCAGCAAUGCCGCGUGAGUGAUGAAGGCCUUAGGGUUGUAAAGCUCUUUUACCCGGGAUGAUAAUGACAGCACCGGGAGAAUAAGCUCCGGCUAACUCCGUGCCAGCAGCCGCGGUAAU
This 470-nucleotide ribosomal RNA is filed under the name uncultured bacterium. RNAcentral describes it as "bacterial SSU rRNA". It matches the Rfam family "Bacterial small subunit ribosomal RNA", at positions 8 to 524 of the family's 1533-position model. The record is from RNAcentral.